AGUGAACGCUGGCAGUAGGCCUAACACAUGCAAGUCGAACGGCAGCACAGUAAGAGCUUGCUCUUACGGGUGGCGAGUGGCGGACGGGUGAGGAAUACAUCGGAAUCUACUUUUUCGUGGGGGAUAACGUAGGGAAACUUACGCUAAUACCGCAUACGACCUACGGGUGAAAGCAGGGGAUCUUCGGACCUUGCGCGAUUGAAUUAGCCGAUGUCGGAUUAGCUAGUUGGCGGGGUAAAGGCCCACCAAGGCGACGAUCCGUAGCUGGUCUGAGAGGAUGAUCAGCCACACUGGAACUGAGACACGGUCCAGACUCCUACGGGAGGCAGCAGUGGGGAAUAUUGGACAAUGGGCGCAAGCCUGAUCCAGCCAUACCGCGUGGGUGAAGAAGGCCUUCGGGUUGUAAAGCCCUUUUGUUGGGAAAGAAAAGCAGCAGGUUAAUACCCCGCUGUUCUGACGGUACCCAAAGAAUAAGCACCGGCUAACUUCGUG
Molecule: ribosomal RNA, 492 nt
Filed under: uncultured bacterium
Lineage: Bacteria
Description: partial 16S ribosomal RNA
Rfam family: Bacterial small subunit ribosomal RNA
Source: RNAcentral